GGCAGCCUUGAACAUACCAGGAAGCAAUAGGAAAAAACUGGAGAAAGUGAAAAGGCUGCGAUGAAGGAAAAGAGGAGACAAACAAGGGUGACAUUGGCUGGGCAGCAAAGAUGACCAAAAGGCCAAGAAGCCUGUGCUGUUCCAGUAUUGAUCCGGUGCUCCUCCGUCACCAUCCGACCACAGAACCUCAGGCUGAUAGUUGUUCACUAACUCAUAGAGCUCUGGCAAUGUCUUAGAAACUGGAAAUUGCCGCUUAUGGAAUGAACUGGAUUCAUCCUCAAGGAAGAGCGGAUGAAACCAUUCAAAAAGGGAAUAGUACAGUCCAAAACGCAGCUUGGGAAAGUUCCUAGACAUCAGGAAAUCAGCAUGUUCUCAAGCAAAUACACUUGAUAGACAUUCAUCUCAGCAGGAUAAAUAUCUACAGGAGAAAAUCAUGAAGCUACCAGAAUGUGGCCAAAGGGAAAAAUAUCCUAUGAUCAUUCCAGAUUUUUUGUGUUGGUUCUCCUCUCCUAUUCCCAUCCCAUCCCUGGAGAAAACAAUAAGGCAAAGUUUCCCGUUUUUUUUUUUUUUUUUUUUUGAGACAGGAUCUCCCUCCGCCACCUAGACUGGAGUGUAGUAAGCCUAUCUCCGCUCACUGCAGCCUCAAGCAGUCCUCCAACCUAAGCCUCCCAAGUAGCUGGGACUACAGAGACAUACCACUAC
Long non-coding RNA from Homo sapiens (human), 702 nucleotides. The record is from Ensembl. Lineage: Eukaryota; Metazoa; Chordata; Mammalia; Primates; Hominidae.